Nomascus leucogenys (northern white-cheeked gibbon) is the source of this 3260-nucleotide RNA transcript. It is a transcript of the gene named solute carrier family 2 member 8, with no coding region annotated. NCBI's taxonomy places the organism in Eukaryota, Metazoa, Chordata, Mammalia, Primates, Hylobatidae. The record is from RefSeq and is a predicted model, not a curated record.
GCUGCGAGAGGCCGGUGCGGGCCGCACUCGCGCGGCAGGUGGCGAUUCGGGCGCCAGAGCUGGCCGCGGACAUGACGCCUGAGGACCCAGAGGAAACCCAGCCGCUUCUGGGGCCUCCUGGCGGCAGCGCGCCGCGCGGCCGCCGCGUCUUCCUCGCCGCCUUCGCCGCUGCCCUGGGCCCACUCAGCUUCGGCUUCGCGCUCGGCUACAGCUCCCCGGCCAUCCCGAGCCUGCAGCGCGCCGCGCCCCCGGCCCCGCGCCUGGACGACGCCGCCGCCUCCUGGUUCGGGGCCGUCGUGACCCUGGGUGCCGCGGCGGGGGGAGUGCUGGGCGGCUGGCUGGUGGACCGCGUCGGGCGCAAGCUGAGCCUCCUGCUGUGCUCCAUGCCCUUCGUGGCCGGCUUUGCCGUCAUCACCGCGGCCCAGGACGUGUGGAUGCUGCUGGGGGGCCGCCUCCUCACCGGCCUGGCCUGCGGUGUUGCCUCCCUAGUGGCCCCGGUCUACAUCUCCGAAAUCGCCUACCCAGCAGUCCGGGGGUUGCUCGGCUCCUGUGUGCAGCUGAUGGUCGUCGUCGGCAUCCUCCUGGCCUACCUGGCAGGCUGGGUGCUGGAGUGGCGCUGGCUGGCCGUGCUGGGCUGCGUGCCCCCCUCCCUCAUGCUGCUGCUCAUGUGCUUCAUGCCCGAGACCCCACGCUUCCUGCUGACUCAGCACAGGCACCAGGAGGCCAUGGCCGCCCUGCGGUUCCUGUGGGGCUCCGAGCAGGGCUGGGAAGACCCCCCUAUCGGGGCUGAGCAGAGCUUCCACCUGGCCCUGCUGCGGCAGCCCGGCAUCUACAAGCCCUUCAUCAUCGGUGUCUCCCUGAUGGCCUUCCAGCAGCUGUCAGGCGUCAACGCCGUCAUGUUCUAUGCAGAGACCAUCUUUGAAGAGGCCAAGUUCAAGGACAGCAGCCUGGCCUCGGUCAUCGUGGGUGUCAUCCAGGUGCUGUUCACAGCUGUGGCAGCUCUCAUCAUGGACAGAGCAGGGCGGAGGCUGCUCCUGGUCUUGUCAGGUGUGGUCAUGGUGUUCAGCACGAGUGCCUUCGGCGCCUACUUCAAGCUGACCCAGGGUGGCGCUGGCAACUCCUCGCACGUGGCCCUCUCGGCGCCUGUCUCCGCAGAGCCUGUUGAUGCCAGCGUGGGGCUGGCCUGGCUGGCUGUGGGCAGCAUGUGCCUCUUCAUCGCCGGCUUUGCGGUGGGCUGGGGGCCCAUCCCCUGGCUCCUCAUGUCAGAGAUCUUCCCUCUGCAUGUCAAGGGCGUGGCGACAGGCAUCUGCGUCCUCACCAACUGGCUCAUGGCCUUUCUCGUGACCAAGGAGUUCAGCAGCCUCAUGACCUGCAGCCCCAGCGCCUGCCCACCUUGGCAUCUCCCAUUAAGUCACAUCAUGAGGGCAGAGAGCAAGGGCCUGUUUUUGCGACACUUGAAGUACAGCGUGGACCAGGCAGAGCAAGGCGCCGCAUCACAUCAGUUCCAGAUCUGCAGCAGCUGCUCUGAUUUCAGUGAAGUGUGAAACCGUGCACAGGACUUUGAACAACUCUCAGCUGUAGCAAAUCCAGUUUCCCCGCGGGCCUUCCAGAAGCAGGGUCCUGUCUCCUCGCAGGAGCAUCUCCCGUGGCAAUGGCCGCACCUCGGCAUCCGCAUUACCAGUGCUUGCGUGGCAGUCCACUAAUCGGACACGCAUGACAUUUGGUGCUGUGACUCGGAUCGGGGGACCUCCCUUGGGAGAUCAAUCCCCUGUCCUCCUGCUCUUUGCUCCAUGAGAAAAAUCCACCCACAAGCUCGGGUCCUCAGACCAGCCCAAGAAACACCUCACCAAUUUUAAAUCGGGCCACACAGGGCUUGGGCAAUCAGCCUAACCUCCCUAAACUACAGCCUCUGCUCGGGACACCCACUCUCAUCCACCUCACAGAAGACUGGUCUUUGUUCUGGAUGACUUCUCCAACUGGGGCUUCAGGCCAGAGACUGCUCCCAGCUCUGGCUUGGCUGUUCUCCAGCCUCUGCAAACCAGGGCUUGCACAAGAAAAAAGAGGGAAGGCAGGAGGAUGUGUCAGCCCCCAGGCUACAAGAGAGAUGGUAAACAUGUGGGCAAGGAACAUGUCAAUGUGGCUUCGAACUCUUCCUCAGCCUCUCUCCUUUGCUCUCUGCUGGAGUCUGCACGGAGGCUAAGAGUCAGUGUGCUUAGUUCCAAUUCUGGUUGUUCCACUCCCUGCCUACGUGAUGUGGACAACUCACCUGACCCCUCUCAGCCUCUGUUUCUUCAUCUGUAAAAUGGGCAUCAUGGCACUACCUCCCUCAUGGAGUUGUGAGGAUGAAAGGCAAGAAUUAUGUAAAGCACCUGAACCUGGUGAUGGGACAGAGUAAGUGCUCAGGCAAUGGCCGCUGUUGUUACUGGUGUGAGUGCGGGUGGGGCAGGGGGCGUGGUGAAGGUGGGGAGCUGUGCUAGGCGGGUGGGAGGCCCCGGGGGGGUUCAUAAAGGGACAUUUGAGAUCUUCAAUCAUUUUUCUCCUUAUAUUCUAUUUCCUACCUUGCCCUCUUGGCAACUCCCACCCGCACCACCUGCUGUUGCUACCAGUACCCACUUACCGGUGCCAAUAACGGGAUGCAUACUCUUCAGAGGUCCCUUAAUUUCCCUUUAAGCCUUCCCAUCAGAGCACAGAAUGCUUCGCGGACCCAUAGCCAGCCCCCAUUGACCAUCCUGUAGGGGCCCCAGAAGCCCAGCCUGGCGCCAUCAGGAAAGGAUUAUGGAGAGAAGCACUGGAUAGAACAGCCCCAGGGGACAGGUGCAGCAUAAGCUUGCUUUACCCAGCCCAGGACCGAAAUCUGCACGGCCCACGGACGCCCACUACCCGCUUACACCAUCCCAGCUCCUGCCCCAGAGUAACUUGGCUUCUGCAAACCAGAGACUUGUCCCUGACACCCCCUGGGGACCAGGGGUGGAAGUGCAUCAGCUAGAGCAAGACACACUCAGCUACCUCCUGGUGGGCGUAUGCGGGAUCCCAGGGCUAAGCCAGCAACCCUGUAGUGGCCAUUGGGGUUGGCACCUACUGAGCCUGGAGCUGUGGGCAGAAUCCCACCAGCUGACUUGUGACGCUCUCUGCUGCUGCCUUGUGGCCUGGGCAGGAUGACGCUGCCUCUGGUCCCCAACAGAGUGGAGAGUGAUUGAUUAUGGCUCCAAAGCUCAUUCAGCCUGCUGGACAAGGCAGGAUCAGCCGAAGGGGGUGAAACC